UCUUUUUCUCAGCUUGUGAGUUUUCUGGUUUUACUGUUUUGAUUCCUCCCCAGUCCAGCCCAGUCCUGCUGGUGAGGGAGGAACCAACUUGGUUGCUGACUGGAGUCAAAUUUUGGCAUCAGUUGCUGCCACCCUAAGGACACAAACAGCCAGAGCUGCAGAAAAGUGGUCCCUGCGUGGCUGCAUCUUGUGCAGUGCCAGGCAGGGGCCUCGGUCUCUAGAUGACUGGAAACGUCAAAGGGACAUGGGACAGAGGAAGAAGAAUGAGGAAGGUGGAGACCAGCAGAGGAAAGAAAAUGCACCCUAGCAAGCCAAAGUAGGACCAUACUGCAUGCUGCAGGGUGGGGAGAGGCCAAGUUAAACUCCAGGUCCUUAGUUUCUGAUUUCACCUUUGCCUUAUUCAUCAGUCACAAUCCUCGCCAAG
Molecule: long non-coding RNA, 424 nt
Organism: Passer domesticus (house sparrow)
Lineage: Eukaryota; Metazoa; Chordata; Aves; Passeriformes; Passeridae
Exons: 3
Source: RefSeq, a predicted model, not a curated record